RNAcentral lists this ribosomal RNA (254 nucleotides) under uncultured bacterium. Its description in RNAcentral is "partial 16S ribosomal RNA". It matches the Rfam family "Bacterial small subunit ribosomal RNA", at positions 524 to 776 of the family's 1533-position model. The record is from RNAcentral.
UACGUAGGGUGCGAGCGUUGUCCGGAAUUAUUGGGCGUAAAGAGCUCGUAGGCGGUGUGUCACGUCGGCCGUGAAAACCUGCAGCUUAACUGUGGGCGUGCGGUCGAUACGGGCAUCACUGGAGUUCGGCAGGGGAGACUGGAAUUCCUGGUGUAGCGGUGAAAUGCGCCGAUAUCAGGAGGAACACCGGUGGCGAAGGCGGGUCUCUGGGCCGAAACUGACGCUGAGGAGCGAAAGCGUGGGGAGCAAACAGG